CACAUGCAAGUCGAGGGGCAGCGGGAUUGAAGCUUGCUUCAAUUGCCGGCGACCGGCGCACGGGUGAGUAACGCGUAUCCAACCUUCCGUACACUCAGGGAUAGCCUUUCGAAAGAAAGAUUAAUACCUGAUGGUAUGAUGAGAUUGCAUGAUAGCAUCAUUAAAGAUUCAUCGGUGUACGAUGGGGAUGCGUUCCAUUAGGUAGUAGGCGGGGUAACGGCCCACCUAGCCUACGAUGGAUAGGGGUUCUGAGAGGAAGGUCCCCCACAUUGGAACUGAGACACGGUCCAAACUCCUACGGGAGGCAGCAGUGAGGAAUAUUGGUCAAUGGACGAGAGUCUGAACCAGCCAAGUAGCGUGAAGGAUGAAGGUCCUACGGAUUGUAAACUUCUUUUAUAAGGGAAUAAAACCUCCCACGUGUGGGAGCUUGUAUGUACCUUAUGAAUAAGCAUCGGCUAACUCCGUGCCAGCAGCCGCGGUAAUACGGAGGAUGCGAGCGUUAUCCGGAUUUAUUGGGUUUAAAGGGAGCGCAGACGGGUCGUUAAGUCAGCUGUGAAAGUUUGGGGCUCAACCUUAAAAUUGCAGUUGAUACUGGCGUCCUUGAGUGCGGUUGAGGUGUGCGGAAUUCGUGGUGUAGCGGUGAAAUGCUUAGAUAUCACGAAGAACUCCGAUUGCGAAGGCAGCGCACUAAGCCGUAACUGACGUUCAUGCUCGAAAGUGUGGGUAUCAAACAGGAUUAGAUACCCUGGUAGUCCACACGGUAAACGAUGGAUACUCGCUGUUGGCGAUAUACUGUCAGCGGCUUAGCGAAAGCGUUAAGUAUCCCACCUGGGGAGUACGCCGGCAACGGUGAAACUCAAAGGAAUUGACGGGGGCCCGCACAAGCGGAGGAACAUGUGGUU
RNAcentral lists this ribosomal RNA (902 nucleotides) under uncultured bacterium. Its description in RNAcentral is "bacterial SSU rRNA". It matches the Rfam family "Bacterial small subunit ribosomal RNA", at positions 52 to 946 of the family's 1533-position model. The record is from RNAcentral.